Molecule: ribosomal RNA, 296 nt
Filed under: uncultured bacterium
Lineage: Bacteria
Description: partial 16S ribosomal RNA
Rfam family: Bacterial small subunit ribosomal RNA
Source: RNAcentral
GGAUUAGAUACCCUGGUAGUCCACGCCGUAAACGAUGAGUGCUAGAUGUCUCGGGUAUUGACCCCUGAGGUGUCGUAGCUAACGCGUUAAGCACUCCGCCUGGGAACUACGGCCGCAAGGCUAAAACUCAAAGGAAUUGACGGGGGCCCGCACAAGCGGUGGAGCAUGUGGUUUAAUUCGACGCAACGCGCAGAACCUUACCCGGGCUAGAAAAACAUGGAAGCCGAUGGAAACAUUGGUGUGCUCGUAAGAGAACCAUGGUUCAGGUGCUGCAUGGCUGUCGUCAGCUCGUGCCG